UAUAGAAAAUUUAAACUUAAUAAAACCAGGUAUCUUUUAAGAAACAGCCUUAAAAACAUUUAAACUUUUAAGGCUAUGAGAUAUUUUAAGUUUAUAAAAUGCCUCAUAUUAUUAAUAUUUGAACUUAUAAAUAAAAAGGUUAAGAAUUCGGGCCACAGACAUGAGCACCAAAUGCUAAACAGCAGAAACUGGGGUAUUCCCAUCUUAUAGUGCAGCAAGACAAUGACCUAAGCAGUGUGGCAAAGGGCUUGGAGCAGCUUCUCCCCAAUGGGUUAUGAUCCUCUGGGCAUAGAAAGACCUUUUUACAGGGGUAUCCUAGGACCACCUGCCUGCUAGAUGUUUGCAUUGCAUUUCCUAACAGUGGCAAAAGUGUUGUUGUAAAAUUACAACAGGAAUGAUUUUGUGGUUGGGGGAGGAAGGGAUCACAACACUGGGUAGUUUGAGAACCACUGGCUUAGAGAAUGUCACUCCUUACCCAGGGUCUAUUCAUGCUUAAGAAUGUACAUCUAGCCUCCUUGUCUUUCCUAACUUUGUUAAGCUUAAGCUAUUUUUGAUAAACUGAAUCAUAUAAAAAAACUGUUAUAUUCUGUAACAGUGUACUAUCAAAGGAUCAGAAACAUUCCCAGUCUCUCUGUGGACUGUGUUUAUGAGUUCAAAGUUUUAUUUGAUACUAAAAGAGCUUCAAUUCAGAAAUUGUCAUUAUUUAUGGCUAACUUGUAAACUGUGAAAGAUGAUUAAGACAUGCAAGUAAAUAGUCACCUCAUAAAGGAUCAAAUUCUUUAAUAUGUUCAGAACUAUAAUUGUAGUCAUGCCAAACACUAAUGUAAUUAUUAUAGGAAAAAGCUUUAUUUAGCCUCCUAUAUGUGUUUUAUAAGGUUAAGCCUAGGGUUUUUACCUCAGAUAUACUUAAUAGAUAAUGGUCCUCAAACUUGUCAGAGAUCUGAUGAAUAUGGUAUUAAAAUGUUUAAUGGAAAAAGCUUAGCAUGACAGAGACCCACAGCUCCUACCAGUGACCCCAAAAUCUCCAAAGAAGAUGACAGGGCACCAUGAAAACUUCACCUGGAUCAUGGUAAUGCUAACCACUGGGAAAGACUGCCCCAAGGCUGCAUCAGCCACCAGAACCCAGCCCAAACUGUGUACAAGCAGGACAGUGAGAGUUCAUCGCCCCACUUUGCCUGGACAAAGUAAGGUCAGUCCCCACCAUGUUUCUCCUCCACAGGAAAGCCUCUCAUCUAUUGGGUCUCGUGGCUGAAGACUGAUGCUAUCCUGGUACCUCUGCCCCCAAUGCCAACGAGACCACAGGAGCCUGAUAUGACCAUCUGGGUAAUGGACUAGUCUCUGUCAUUUUAAUUGAUACACAGGGCAUUUGGAUUAUACUUUCUACUGUCAUUUAUCCUCCUUGAUCUCUGAUGGUAUUGACAGCUAAGCUGACUAUGUCUUUGUCAGCUUAGCCCCAGCAGGCAACCAGGUUCUUCUCCAAGGCUACAGCCACCUUGUUAGCUGAUUUCAUAUAUAAAAAUCAAGCCUUGAUUUUUCUAGAACUACUAGGUCUCCUGUUGAGAAAGGCUAGACAGGUUUGCCUUGCUAACAGGCUUCAUAUUAAAAGAUAAACAUAUUUCAGAUGUAACUUUCCACUAAAGGAACAUGAUUUGCAAUGACUAUGUCUCUGGUAAAUGAUUAGAUGGAAAGAAAAAGGAUUAAAAGUCUAUGCAAGUUUUGAGGGUCUAAGAAAAUGUUCUAAGGUAUAUAAAGGUCUGAGGAUAUGAGAGUCUAUGUAAGUUCUGAGGAUCCAAGUGUUCUAAGAGAAAGGUCUGAGGUUGUGAAAGCUUAAGUAAGUUCUGAUGGCCUAAUAAAAUGAUUUCAGGGGUUGGGGAUUUAGCUCAGUGGCAGAGGGCUUGCCUAGCAAGCACGAGGCCCUGGGUUCAGUCCUCAGCUCUGGAAAAAAAAAAAAGAAAGAAAAUGAUUUCAGAUGUGUAAAUACAAGUUGUAAAGGUGUAAGAAAGUGAUUUAAUGCAUGAGAAAAAUGGGAAAUGGUUCAGAUCUGUUUCUCCCUUUUAACCUAUUGUUAUACUAGGAUUUCAAAAGUUCAGAGUUUUAACAUUGAUCAACGGCAUUCUCAUGAGCUUACCAGGAUCUACUUAGUGUUUAGGCACAAGCUCAAGUUUUUAAAUUUCUUUUAAUUGUCUUCUAAGUACAGACUUAAGGUGUUUCUCAUCAAGCUAUAUUUGGCUCUCUAGGCAGGAAAAAAUGUUCAUACUUUUUAAGCCAAUCUACAGCUUUUCUAGGGCUCAAAGGUGUGAGUUAUACUCUAGUUGUUUUGUAGACACCUAUUACUGACUUUUCUACAAUAUGGAUUUCAGAUUGGUAAUGCUAAUAUAUCUAAAACCUUUGGGACUUUUUGUAAACUAAAAAAAAGAAAAGAAAAAAGCUGAUAUAACCUUCAGAGAAUCAAGGGAGUCACACGACUUGGAUCCACUUCUUACAGAUCAAAAGGAAUUCAGAUAAAUACAGCCUACAUUUCCUGACUUUUCUAGUCCUGGGGAUGGGAUCUCUCUCUCUCUCUCUCUCUCUCUCUCUCUCUCUCUCUCUCUCUCUCUCUCUGGGGUUGGUACUCCUCCCUUCCCUUAACUACUAGGACUAUGGUCCUGAAAGUUCCCAAUGUAAGACUGCUGGUUUGAAAAUAAAUGCCCCCCAAGUGUAGCUGUAGAGUUUUCUCUCUGGGUCCCACCAAGUCCCGGCAGUCUGACAGUCCACUUAUAAAAUAAACACACAGACGCUUAUAUUAUUUAAAUUGUUUGGCCUAAUGGCUCAGGCUUCUAUCUAUCUAGUUCUUACAUCUUAAAUUAAUCCAUUUCUAUAAAUCUAUACCUUGCCACAUGGCUCGUGGCUUACCGGCAUCUUCACGUGCUGCUUGUCAUGGCGGCGGCUGGCAGUGACUCCCUCUGCCUUCCUGUUCUCUCAGUUCUCCUCUCUGUUAGUCCCACCUAUACUUCCUGCCUGGCUACUGGCCAAUCAGUGUUUUAUUUAUUGAUUAAUCAGAGCAACAAUUUGACAUACAGACCAUCCCACAGCACCCAAGGGAAUGGCACUAUUAGAAAGUGUGUCCUUGUUGGAGAAAUUGUGUCACUGUGGAGGUGGGCUCUAAGGUCUCAUAUAUGUUCAAGCCAUGUCCAGUUUCUCAAUUCACUUCCUGUUGCCUGUGAGAUCAAGACAUAGCUCCUUCUCCAAUCUCAGCUUCUUCUCCAGCACCUAGUCUGCCUGUUUGUUACAAUGUUGCACCAUGAUGAUAAUGGACUAAACCUCUGAAAAUGUAAGCUGCCUCCAUUAAAUGUUUUUCCUUUAUACGAGUUGCCAUGGUUAUGCUGUCUCUCUUCACAGCAAUAGAAACCCUAAGACAAAAAUGUUCCUUUAUAUUCCUGAAUUUUAACUUCUGUCCCUACUCUAUAUCUGUCUCAGCAGAUUUCCACUCAGCUGACAGACACCAUCCAAGCAUUAGCUGCUAACUACAACCUGCUCCAAACAGCUGUGGAUCAAUCCAACCAAUGUGAUUGCUCCCUGUCUUGAGCUGGAUCAGCAAACCAGAUGCUUCUGAUGAAUGCUCCAUUGCCUGAAUUCCUUCCUCCAUUUGACUAGCAUUCCAACCUUCCUGGGCCCUGACAACAAUGUCCUAGUUUCAGCAGGAAGGAGUUACAGAAGAGAAUACAUCGUCCCUUGUCCCCAAUAGGCUGGAAUGUUAGAUCAAAAGAAUACUCCCUGGCACAGGAGACAAAAUAACUACCUACAGUGCCUAUUGGCAUGUUGGGAAAGGCACCUAUUAAAACCAAAUAGACCCAGAUCUAGCAACAGGCUGAUGCAGCUUCCUAAGAAACGGUGAUAGGCCCUCAUCUCCGCCUCUGUUAUCCACACCACGGUAUAAGGUAUAAUUAACCUCUUCAGAUUGAAGCUUUUUUUCUGGUGCCCUCUGUGUACCUGGAUUGGUGGACAGAAAUGGUUUAAACGGGUUUUUAUCAUGAACUUUCUUCAGGAUUUGGAGAUAAAAUAGAGGAAUUGGACUACAAAGAGAACACCUAGACUACUACCUAUUACUACCUCCUCCACCUGCAAGUGACCUUGGGAGAUAAUAAACUAGAUAAGAAGAAAAAUGUGUAAAUGAAAAUUUCUGGAAAGAAGCCUACAUGUGUGGGAUGACUCAUCCCUAACAGGCUUGAGGGCCAGCUGGCCCAAACAAGUGAAAAAGAUACUUUCUGAGAGCCAACCUGGGUCUGCCUAAUGGUCUUAGCAACAGCAGCUGAAACAUAAUCUGGAGAUGACCUGGACCAAUGAGAGGCAGCCAUGUCACCCCAGCUGAUGCAUAUUCAUCAGACCUCCCCCCAGGGUGGGGUGGAGGGUAUAUAAGGCUUGCCUCUUCCUGGAUAAACUGAGCCUGUUGUUUGGACAUUCUCACAGAGUCUAUGCGGUUUGACUCUGUGCCUACUUGGCCCCCUCCCCCAAAGGGAACAACAGCAAAGGACCCUGCUACAUCUGGUGCCGAAACCCGGGAAGUUUGAUACUUGAACAGGGUCUGUUUGUCUCCCUUUACUCAUGUACAGUGCUAGUUGAGCAGCACCCUUGAGCGCUAUAUUUUGGUGAGUAGGCCCCUCUACGUUGUGUAAAUUCAGUCCCUUCAGCAGGUAAAUGCUGGGACCCCCACUUUCUUCUUUCUGUUUGUCUUGUUUGUGAGUCUGUCUGUAUGGUAGGGUGGCACGUACUUUUGUUCAGGCUUGCCUAGCUGCUGUGGGAUGUUCUGUAUGGCAAAUGUGUUGCUCUGAUUGGUCAAUAAAUAAAACACUGAUUGGCCAUUGGCUAGGCAGGAAGUGUAGGCGGGACAAGGAGGAGAAUUCUGGGAAGUGGAAGGCUGAGUCAGAGAGACACUGCCAGCCACCACGAUGACAAACAGCAUGUGAAGAUGCCGGUAAGCCACGAGCCACUUGGCAAGGUAUAGAUUAAUAGAAAUGGAUUAAUUUAAGCUGUAAGAACAGUUAGCAAGAAGCCUGCCACGGCCAUACAGUUUGUAACCAAUAUAAGUCUCUGUGUUUUCUUGGUCGGGUCUGAGCGGCUGUGGGACUGGCAGGUGAGAGAGAUUUGUCCUGCUACCUUGCAUGAGCAAGCUUCUGACUGAUUAUCUUGUCUCUGCCUCCCAUCUCACCAUAGAGAUUCUGGAAUCACAGAUAAAAAAAAAACCACUGCAUCUUGCUUUUGUGUCAGUCCUUGUGAUCAAACUCAGGUCAUCAGACUUGUGGUUUAUGUGACAAGCACUUUUACCUAUGGAGCCACCUCUCUGCCAUCCAUCCUUGUCUUUCAACUAAUGGUGCCGACACCUGUACCAUCCUGUGCCUGUUGUUUCUGUGCCUACACCAUUCAUAACUAGUAUCCAAACUACUCCUAAUAAACACCCUUUCAUUGUACCUCUUCUAAGAAUCCCUCAACCCAAGAGAGCUGUCCAGCUGACGCCCCUCUUAGUGAGACUAGGCAUUAUGGCAGGUAUGGGUACUGAUCUGAAGGAGACAGUCUGGGGGAAUGGCUCCAUAGAAGGGUAUGUGGGACUGGUUUUCCUGGUUAAUAUACCUGAGUCUGCUUUCUGGUAUAAUUCUCCUUUUUUAAAGACUGCUUACUUACUCUUCUGGAAUGAUGGGUAUCUUCCAGAACACAGGUCAUUAAGCUCCACAUGGUUUCAUCUCAGGGAUACUAACCAUUACCAUCAACAUCUGUAUUCAUGUUCCUUUGGUGCCUAAGGACCUCUUAACCUGCAAGUAAUGUCUCUGGACUCCAACUUAUACAGUAACUACUCCAUAAACUCUUCAAAAUAUCAACCAAAUCCUUUAUGCUUUACAGUCCUAGGACCCUAUGAGAGAUCAGCAAUCUAGCCAGGGCCCUUCAAGACCCCCCACUCAGCUCUGAAUAAGAUCCCAAAGAAAAAUAAAGUCCGUUGUUAGUGAUUUGACCCUGCUGAU
This is a long non-coding RNA of Peromyscus californicus insignis, 5990 nucleotides long. RefSeq lists it as uncharacterized. Lineage: Eukaryota; Metazoa; Chordata; Mammalia; Rodentia; Cricetidae. The transcript has 3 exons. The record is from RefSeq and is a predicted model, not a curated record.